Molecule: long non-coding RNA, 1159 nt
Organism: Ictalurus furcatus (blue catfish)
Lineage: Eukaryota; Metazoa; Chordata; Actinopteri; Siluriformes; Ictaluridae
Exons: 3
Source: RefSeq, a predicted model, not a curated record
GUGACAUUACGGGGCCUUUGGCUAUCACAUCUGCAAACCCUAGUGGUGAACCUGACAGCACACAUCAUGACAUGAUUAUUAACCGCCUUGGACACAAGAUCCAAGGAGUACUGUGUGAUGGGAAUUCCAAUGAGCUGGUAGGGUCAACAGUGGUCAGUUGCCUGAAAAUUGACGAAGGUACCAUAAAUAUUGUGCGUGAAGGUUGUGUCCCUGCGGCAAAGGUGCAGCAGAUUUUUGAGCGGGUGAAGAACAGCAUGUUAUAAGAAAUGAAGCUACACAUUAAUCCUGUAAAAAAAAAGGCAAAAAGUUUGACAGCUGCAGUAUCCUGUAUAUUAUUGGCAAAUUAUUUUUAUAAGAGAAAAUAUGAUGGGUUUUUUUUUUUUUUUUGACAUUGUGGGAUAAACAUGCCCAGCAGUGCUGGCUGAAUUCUAUCUUUCUCUCUCUCUCUCUCUCUCUCUAUAUAUAUAUAUAAUUACUGCUUUCUUAUUGUUGUCUUGUGAAUAUUAAUAUAUAAAUAUGCUAUAACAGUAUUGUUUUUUUUUCUAGCAUCAUUGUAUAGAACAACAUAGACAAUAAAUUAUAUACAACAUAAUUUUUUUUUCUGAUUUGUGCCCUGGAGUGUGAGAAAUAAAGCAUAAAUAAAGAUUUUUUCUUCUGCUUCUUUAUUAUUAUUAUUAUUAUUAUUAUUAUUAUUAUUAGUAGUAGUAGUAGUAGUAGUAGUAGUAGUAGUCAUUUGUUAUUUGACCAAUUUCUUUUAACCAUGGGAUAUGAUAAUACAAAAAGGCAAUUAAGAUAUUCAUACACAAAGCACUAAAAAAAGAACAUCAUAUUUUAACUAUAAAAUAUUUUGAAAUCAACUAUUUUUUUUUUUGUGAGUUAAAACAUCUAAUAAUGAAACAUCAUUAUGACCUGCUGCUUCAAGAAAACUGGCAAAUAAAAUAAAAUAAAAUAAAAAUAAACAAGAAUAAAAUAAAUAAAUAAUAAUAAUAAUAAAAAGUUUGCAUACAUUGCAUACAUACAUACUGAUUGCAAGACACAUUGCCACUAGCCCAAGUACACUAUAUGGCCACUAAAUGCAGACACCUGACCAUCACACCCAUAUGUCCUUGCUGAACCAUUAAAAAAAAAAAGGGUUUUUAUAAUGUUAUAAUGUUGUAUA